UGCGCAGGCGGCCGUGUGUGUGAGGCGUGAAAGCCCGGAGCUCAACUCCGGAAUGGCACCUCAAACUACACGGCUAGAGCAUUGGAGAGGGUAGCAGAAUUCACGGUGUAGCAGUGAAAUGCGUAGAUAUCGUGAGGAAUACCAGAGGCGAAGGCGGCUACCUGGACAAUUGCUGACGCUCAGGCACGAAAGCGUGGGGAGCAAAAGGGAUUAGAUACCCCUGUAGUCCACGCCCUAAACGGUGCGCACUAGGUCUUGGAGGAUUCGACCCCUUCAGGGCCCAAGCUAACGCGUUAAGUGCGCCGCCUGAGGACUACGGCCGCAAGGCUAAA
RNAcentral lists this ribosomal RNA (332 nucleotides) under uncultured bacterium. RNAcentral's name for it is "bacterial SSU rRNA". It matches the Rfam family "Bacterial small subunit ribosomal RNA", at positions 568 to 898 of the family's 1533-position model. The record is from RNAcentral.